GUCUACGGCCAUAUCACCCUGAAUGCACCUGACCUCCUCUGAUCUCGGAAGAAAUACAAGUGAGGCUUGGGUGGUUUAAUAAGGAAAUACCACUUUUAAAUAUAAGAACCUGAGCUU
RNAcentral lists this ribosomal RNA (117 nucleotides) under Mus caroli (Ryukyu mouse). RNAcentral's name for it is "rRNA (MGP_CAROLIEiJ_G0034295.1)". The record is from RNAcentral. Lineage: Eukaryota; Metazoa; Chordata; Mammalia; Rodentia; Muridae.